UACGAAGGGGGCUAGCGUUGCUCGGAAUCACUGGGCGUAAAGCGCACGUAGGCGGCUUUUUAAGUCAGGGGUGAAAUCCAGGAGCUCAACUCCAGAACUGCCUUUGAUACUGAGAAGCUUGAGUUCGGGAGAGGUGAGUGGAACUGCGAGUGUAGAGGUGAAAUUCGUAGAUAUUCGCAAGAACACCAGUGGCGAAGGCGGCUCACUGGCCCGAUACUGACGCUGAGGUGCGAAAGCGUGGGGAGCAAACAGG
This 253-nucleotide ribosomal RNA is filed under the name uncultured bacterium. RNAcentral describes it as "partial 16S ribosomal RNA". It matches the Rfam family "Bacterial small subunit ribosomal RNA", at positions 524 to 776 of the family's 1533-position model. The record is from RNAcentral.